CCGGCGCACGGGUGAGUAACGCGUAUGCGACCUGCCCGUUGCAGGGGGAUAAUCGGGAGAAAUCCCGUCUAAUACCGCGUAAUGCCGCGGGGCUGCAUGGCCCUGCGGCCAAAGGGAGCGAUUCCGGCAACGGAUGGGCAUGCGUCGCAUUAGUUAGUUGGCGGUGUAACGGACCACCAAGACGACGAUGCGUAGGGGUUCUGAGAGGAAGGUCCCCCACACUGGUACUGAGACACGGACCAGACUCCUACGGAAGGCAGCAG
RNAcentral lists this ribosomal RNA (263 nucleotides) under uncultured bacterium. RNAcentral describes it as "partial 16S ribosomal RNA". It matches the Rfam family "Bacterial small subunit ribosomal RNA", at positions 95 to 354 of the family's 1533-position model. The record is from RNAcentral.